AGAGUUUGAUCCUGGCUCAGAACGAACGCUGGCGGCGUGGAUAAGACAUGCAAGUCGGACGAGAUUUUUCGUUGUAGCAAUACGAUGGAAAGUCUAGUGGCGAACGGGUGCUUAACACGUGGGCAAUCUGUCUUAAAGUGGGGGAUAGCUCGGCGAAAGCCGAAUUAAUACCGCAUGUGAUUAGAGUGGACAUCCAUUCAAAAUUAAAGUCGGGGCAACCUGACGCUUUUUGAGGAGCCCGCGGCCUAUCAGCUAGUUGGUGAGGUAACGGCUCACCAAGGCUGUGACGGGUAGCUGGUCUGAGAGGACGACCAGCCACACUGGGACUGAGACACGGCCCAGACACCUACGGGUGGCAGCAGUCGAGAAUUUUUCUCAAUGGGGGAAACCCUGAAGGAGCGACGCCGCGUGGAGGAUGAAGGUCUUCGGAUUGUAAACUCCUGUCAUUGGGGAACAAGUCGCUUACGUUAACUGCGUGAGCGUUGAUAGUACCCGAAGAGGAAGAGACGGCUAACUCUGUGCCAGCAGCCGCGGUAAUACAGAGGUCUCAAGCGUUGUUCGGAUUCAUUGGGCGUAAAGGGUGCGUAGGCGGCGCGGUAAGUCGGGUGUGAAAUCUCGGAGCUUAACUCCGAAACUGCAUUCGAUACUGCCGUGCUCGAGGACUGGAGAGGAGACUGGAAUUUACGGUGUAGCGGUGAAAUGCGUAGAUAUCGUAAGGAAGACCAGUGGCGAAGGCGGGUCUCUGGACAGUUCCUGACGCUGAGGCACGAAGGUCAGGGGAGCAAACGGGAUUAGAUACCCCAGUAGUCC
Molecule: ribosomal RNA, 810 nt
Filed under: uncultured bacterium
Lineage: Bacteria
Description: bacterial SSU rRNA
Rfam family: Bacterial small subunit ribosomal RNA
Source: RNAcentral